RNAcentral lists this ribosomal RNA (1327 nucleotides) under uncultured bacterium. RNAcentral's name for it is "bacterial SSU rRNA". It matches the Rfam family "Bacterial small subunit ribosomal RNA", at positions 8 to 1354 of the family's 1533-position model. The record is from RNAcentral.
AGAGGUUGAUUCUGGCUCAGGAUGAACGUUGGCGGUGUGCCUAAUACAUGCAAGUCGAACGGUGACGAUUUUGUAGCAAUACGAAUGAAAUCAUAGUGGCGAACGGGUGAGUAACGCGUUGGUGAUCUGCCUCGAAGUGUGGAAUAACUUCCCGAAAGGGUAGCUAAUACCGCAUAGUCUCUCAAGGUUUAGAAAAUUGAGAGUAAAGGAUUUAUUCGCUUCGAGAGGAGCCUGCGUCCCAUCAGCUAGUUGGUAGGGUAAUAGCCUACCAAGGCAAUGACGGGUAGGGGACCUGAGAGGGUGGCCCCCCACAAUGGAACUGAAACACGGUCCAUACACCUACGGGUGGCAGCAGUAGGGAAUAUUAGAAAUGGGCGAAAGCCUGAUCUAGCAACACCGCGUGUGCGAUGAAGGCCUUCGGGUUGUAAAGCACUUUUUGGAGGGAAUAGGAAGGAAGGUACCUCCAGAAUAAGUCUCGGCUAACUACGUGCCAGCAGCCGCGGUAACACGUAGGAGGCAAACGUUAUCCGGAUUCACUGGGCGUAAAGCGCGUGUAGGUGGUUCUGUAAGUAGGGCGUGAAAGCUCCCGGCUCAACUGGGAGAGGCCGUACUAAACUGCAGAGCUAGAGGAUGGUAGAGGGAAGUGGAAUUCCAGGUGUAGUGGUGAAAUGCGCAGAUAUCUGGAGGAACACCAGUGGCGAAGGCGGCCUCCUGGACCAUUCCUGACACUCAGACGCGAAAGCUAGGGUAGCAACCGAAAGUAGAGACUCCGGUAGUCCUAGCCCUAAACGAUGCCCUGUGUUAGGCGUCGGCGGUUUAAUCACCGUCGGUGUCCAAGCAAACGCGAUAAGUCUGCCGCCCGAGGAUACCGGCCGCAAGGCUAAAACUCAAAGGAAUUGACGGGUCCCCGCACAAGCAGCGGAGCGUGUGGUUUAAUUCGAUGCUCCGCGAAGAACCUUACCUGGGUUUGACAUAACAGUGGUAGAGAAGUGAAAACGGAUCGACCCUUCGGGGAGCUGUUACAGGUGUUGCAUGCCUGUCGUCAGCUCGUGUCGUGAGAUGUUCGGUUAAGUCCGCUAACGAGCGCAACCCGCGCUGUGUGUUACAAGUGUCACACAGUACCGCCGGUAUUAAGUCGGAGGAAGGUGCGGAUGACGUCAAGUCAGCAUGACCUUUAUAUCCAGGGCUACACACACGCUACAAUGGUCAGAACAAUAGGUUGCCAAGCCGCAAGGCGGAGCCAAUCCUCCAAAUCUGGCCUCAGUUCAGAUUGCAGGCUGCAACUCGCCUGCAUGAAGUCGGAGUUGCUAGUAACCGCAGGUCAGCA